UAGGGAAUCUUCGGCAAUGGACGGAAGUCUGACCGAGCAACGCCGCGUGAGUGAAGAAGGUUUUCGGAUCGUAAAGCUCUGUUGUAAGAGAAGAACGAGUGUGAGAGUGGAAAGUUCACACUGUGACGGUAUCUUACCAGAAAGGGACGGCUAACUACGUGCCAGCAGCCGCGGUAAUACGUAGGUCCCGAGCGUUGUCCGGAUUUAUUGGGCGUAAAGCGAGCGCAGGCGGUUAGUUAAGUCUGAAGUUAAAGGCUGUGGCUUAACCAUAGUAGGCUUUGGAAACUGUUUAACUUGAGUGCAAGAGGGGAGAGUGGAAUUCCAUGUGUAGCGGUGAAAUGCGUAGAUAUAUGGAGGAACACCGGUGGCGAAAGCGGCUCUCUGGCUUGUAACUGACGCUGAGGUUCGAAAGCGUGGGGAGCAAACAGGAUUAGAUACCCUGGUAGUCCACGCUGUAAACGAUGAGUGCUAGGUGUUAGAUCCUUUCCGGGGUUUAGUGCCGUAGCUAACGCAUUAAGCACUCCGCCUGGGGAGUACGACCGCAAGGUUG
This 550-nucleotide ribosomal RNA is filed under the name uncultured bacterium. Its description in RNAcentral is "bacterial SSU rRNA". It matches the Rfam family "Bacterial small subunit ribosomal RNA", at positions 355 to 896 of the family's 1533-position model. The record is from RNAcentral.